This 314-nucleotide long non-coding RNA is filed under the name Rattus norvegicus (Norway rat). RNAcentral's name for it is "long non-coding RNA NONRATT019660". The record is from RNAcentral. Lineage: Eukaryota; Metazoa; Chordata; Mammalia; Rodentia; Muridae.
AAUUUCUUUCUUUGUUGGAUUUGGACUAAGAUUUGGAGCAAAAUGGAACUAUAUUAAUGCAUAUGAUAAUCAUGUUUUUGUUGCUGGAAGAUUAAUUUACUGUCUUAAUAUAAUAUUUUGGUAUGUGCGCUUGCUAGAUUUUCUAGCUGUAAAUCAACAGGCAGGACCUUAUGUAAUGAUGAUUGGAAAAAUGGUGGCCAAUAUGUUCUACAUUGUAGUGAUAAUGGCUCUUGUAUUACUUAGUUUUGGUGUUCCCAGAAAAGCAAUACUUUAUCCACAUGAAGAACCGUCUUGGUCUCUUGCUAAAGAUAUAG